CUACUCCCCUGUUGCGUCUUGCCCUCCCACACGUCGGCCGCGGUCCACCGUGGCUCGAGGNUAGAACGCUGGCGGUUGNGUACUUAACACAUGACAAGUACCGAAACGGAAGACGAGUUCGUUUGUUAGGAACUCCCGGUUUCGGGGUAGGGUAAGGUGGAAGUACGUAGUACUAGAGGUGGGACCGGGUACGGGUGUAAGUAACGUCGGUGGACCACUCGCCUCACAGAGGGGAUAACAGUUAGAAAUGACUGCUAAUACCGCAUAAGCGCACAGCAUGGCAUCAUGCAGU
Molecule: ribosomal RNA, 292 nt
Filed under: uncultured bacterium
Lineage: Bacteria
Description: partial 16S ribosomal RNA
Source: RNAcentral